GUCUGCGGCCACGCCACCCUGAACAAGCCCGAUGUCUGAUCUCGGAAGCUCAGCAGGGUCGGGCCUGGCUAGUACUUGGAUGGGAGACCACCUAGGAGGACCAGGUGCUGUAGGUG
Molecule: ribosomal RNA, 116 nt
Filed under: Pteropus alecto (black flying fox)
Lineage: Eukaryota; Metazoa; Chordata; Mammalia; Chiroptera; Pteropodidae
Source: RNAcentral